This is a non-coding RNA of Pelobates cultripes (western spadefoot toad), 210 nucleotides long. The record is from the annotation of a GenBank genome assembly. Lineage: Eukaryota; Metazoa; Chordata; Amphibia; Anura; Pelobatidae.
CAGCACUUUAUUUAUUGUACCAUUAUGGAUACUCUCUCUUUGGAAUAAUGGUAUAAUACACAGUAGUGUAGCAUUUUAACCUUUAUUUGUAGGAGUAAAAUAACAUACAACAAGCUGUGCAAGUGCAUCAUUAUUCAAAGAGCCUUCUUCACCUUCUGUGUCAGUCAGCAUUACUUUUAUCUGUCAAUCAAUCGCAUGUUGUUAAAUAAU